UAGAAAAACAAACGUCUUGGGUUACCUGUGCCCUGUCUUGGGCUACCUGUGUCCUCGGCACAGGUAACCCAAGACGUUUGUUUUUCUAUUUUUCU
Molecule: microRNA precursor, 95 nt
Filed under: Paramuricea clavata
Lineage: Eukaryota; Metazoa; Cnidaria; Anthozoa; Malacalcyonacea; Plexauridae
Source: RNAcentral